Molecule: long non-coding RNA, 382 nt
Organism: Acanthopagrus latus (yellowfin seabream)
Lineage: Eukaryota; Metazoa; Chordata; Actinopteri; Spariformes; Sparidae
Exons: 3
Source: RefSeq, a predicted model, not a curated record
CCCCCCGGCUGGAGAGGAGCCUUCCAGAGGGUCAAGGACCAAGGGAGACCCACCCCCCCUGCUCCCAAGCUCCAGUCGGCAACGUGGUUGGAUCUUCACCCCCAGCCAAGCCUUUCUGGAGCCCGGAUGAUGUGCGUGCCGAAGUUCUUGCACGUAAGUAUCUACUUGUUUUAUCCCUCAAUGAUCAAUAAAUUAAUUCAUCAUCAAUAUUGAACUUUUUAAAGACCCCUUCACCGGUUGGACCAUCCCAGACCAUUAAUGCUGCGGCCUGUCACUCUCCUUGCCCAGUUAAGACCGUCGGGACACCAGUUCCCUCAUCGUCCUGCUGGCCCUGGAUUAUCGAUGACGGACUUGCCACCUCUCAUUCCCCUUCUUAAGAGGU